AGCUAUGGCCAUGCUACCCUGAACAAGCCAGACCCCAUCUGAUCUCAGAAGCUAAGCAAGGUCAGGCCUGGUUAGUACUUGGAUGGGAGACCACUUAGGAAGAUCAGCUGUAGGUG
Molecule: ribosomal RNA, 116 nt
Filed under: Pteropus alecto (black flying fox)
Lineage: Eukaryota; Metazoa; Chordata; Mammalia; Chiroptera; Pteropodidae
Source: RNAcentral